This 488-nucleotide ribosomal RNA is filed under the name uncultured bacterium. RNAcentral's name for it is "bacterial SSU rRNA". It matches the Rfam family "Bacterial small subunit ribosomal RNA", at positions 29 to 507 of the family's 1533-position model. The record is from RNAcentral.
AUUGAACGCUGGCGGCAUGCUUUACACAUGCAAGUCGAACGGCAGCGGGGGCGUUCGGCCUGCCGGCGAGUGGCGAACGGGUGAGUAACGCAUCGGAACGUGCCCAUGUCGUGGGGGAUAACGUAGCGAAAGCUACGCUAAUAUCGCAUACGCCCUGAGGGGGAAAGCGGGGGAUUCUUCGGAACCUCGCGCGAUUGGAGCGGCCGAUGUCGGAUUAGCUAGUAGGUGAGGUAAAGGCUCACCUAGGCGACGAUCCGUAGCGGGUCUGAGAGGAUGAUCCGCCACACUGGGACUGAGACACGGCCCAGACUCCUACGGGAGGCAGCAGUGGGGAAUUUUGGACAAUGGGCGCAAGCCUGAUCCAGCCAUGCCGCGUGAGUGAAGAAGGCCUUCGGGUUGUAAAGCUCUUUCGGCCGGGAAGAAAUCGUGUUCUCUAACAUAGGACAUGGAUGACGGUACCGGACUAAGAAGCACCGGCUAACUACGUG